AAACUCAGAAUUCGUGGAAGUUCGAUCACGUGUGACACACUUCGGGUGCUAAGGUCCGCUGUGGAAAGGGAAACAGCCCAGACCGCAUACUAAGGUCCCAAAGUCAUAGCUAAGUGGGAAAAGAAGUGGGAAGGCCCAGACAGCCAGUAGGUUGGCUUAGAAGAAGCCACCCUUUAAUGAAAGCUUAAUAGCUCACUGGUCGAGUCGGCCUGCACGUAAGAUUUAACGGGGC
RNAcentral lists this ribosomal RNA (232 nucleotides) under Francisella tularensis subsp. holarctica. Its description in RNAcentral is "partial 23S ribosomal RNA". It matches the Rfam family "Bacterial large subunit ribosomal RNA", at positions 951 to 1181 of the family's 2925-position model. The record is from RNAcentral. Lineage: Bacteria; Pseudomonadati; Pseudomonadota; Gammaproteobacteria; Thiotrichales; Francisellaceae.